UGGAUCCAGACUUUGAUUAUGGCUCAGGAUGAACGCCAGCUACAGGCUUAACACAUGCAAGUCGAGGGGAAACGAUAGAGAAAGCUUGCUUUUUCUAGGCGUCGACCGGCGCACGGGUGAGUAACGCGUAUCCAACCUGCCCACCACUUGGGGAUAACCUUGCGAAAGUAAGACUAAUACCCAAUAAUAUCUCAAGAAGACAUCUGAAUGAGAUUAAAGAUUUAUCGGUGAUGGAUGGGGAUGCGUCUGAUUAGCUUGUUGGCGGGGUAACGGCCCACCAAGGCGACGAUCAGUAGGGGUUCUGAGAGGAAGGUCCCCCACAUUGGAACUGAGACACGGUCCAAACUCCUACGGGAGGCAGCAGUGAGGAAUAUUGGUCAAUGGGCGAGAGCCUGAACCAGCCAAGUAGCGUGCAGGAUGACGGCCCUAUGGGUUGUAAACUGCUUUUAUAAGGGAAUAAAGUGAGAGUCGUGACUCUUUUUGCAUGUACCUUAUGAAUAAGGACCGGCUAAUUCCGUGCCAGCAGCCGCGGUAAUACGGAAGGUCCGGGCGUUAUCCGGAUUUAUUGGGUUUAAGGGGAGCGUAGGCCGGAGAUUAAGCGUGUUGUGAAAUGUAGAUGCUCAACAUCUGCACUGCAGCGCGAACUGGUUUCCUUGAGUACGCACAAAGUGGGCGGAAUUCGUGGUGUAGCGGUGAAAUGCUUAGAUAUCACGAAGAACUCCGAUUGCGAAGGCAGCUCACUGGAGCGCAACUGACGCUGAAGCUCGAAAGUGCGGGUAUCGAACAGGAUUAGAUACCCUGGUAGUCCGCACGGUAAACGAUGGAUGCCCGCUGUUGGUCUGAAUAGGUCAGCGGCCAAGCGAGAGCAUUAAGCAUCCCACCUGGGGAGUACGCCGGCAACGGUGCAACUCAAAUGAAUUGACGGA
This 926-nucleotide ribosomal RNA is filed under the name uncultured bacterium. Its description in RNAcentral is "bacterial SSU rRNA". It matches the Rfam family "Bacterial small subunit ribosomal RNA", at positions 1 to 917 of the family's 1533-position model. The record is from RNAcentral. RNAcentral also lists the same sequence under 1 other name.